This 501-nucleotide ribosomal RNA is filed under the name uncultured bacterium. Its description in RNAcentral is "bacterial SSU rRNA". It matches the Rfam family "Bacterial small subunit ribosomal RNA", at positions 8 to 518 of the family's 1533-position model. The record is from RNAcentral.
AGGGUUCGAUUCUGGCUCAGGAUGAACGCUGGCGGCGUGCUUAACACAUGCAAGUCGAACGGGAAUUACAUUUAGCUUGCUAAGUUGUAAUUCUAGUGGCGGACGGGUGAGUAACGCGUGGGUAACCUGCCUUAUACCGGGGGACAACAGUUGGAAACGACUGCUAAUACCGCAUAAGCGCACAGAUAGGCAUCUAUCAGUGUGAAAAACUCCGGUGGUAUAAGAUGGACCCGCGUCUGAUUAGCCAGUUGGCGGUGUAACGGACCACCAAAGCGACGAUCAGUAGCCGGCCUGAGAGGGCAAACGGCCACAUUGGGACUGAGACACGGCCCAAACUCCUACGGGAGGCAGCAGUGGGGAAUAUUGCACAAUGGAGGAAACUCUGAAUGCAGCGACGCCGCGUGAGUGAAGAAGUAUUUCGGUAUGUAAAGCUCUAUCAGCAGGAAAGAAAAUGACGGUACCUGACUAAGAAGCCCCGGCUAACUACGUGCCAGCCGCCGC